UGCAGUAUUCCAGGUGAGGAAACGGACUUCCUUUGGGGCAGAUUGCAAGGUGUUGCAUGGUUUUUUUUAGUUUGUGCUUUGGGAUUUUUGGUUAAAUUCCCUAAAGAGGGCAACCCCUUUUUUUUUUUUCCAGGGGGUUAGGUCGGGAACUUUAGGGAGACUGCCGGUGCAAACCGGGAGGAAGGUGGGGAUGACGUCAAAUCAUCAUGGCCCUUACGUCUUGGGCUACACACGUGCUACAAUGGUAGGUACAAAGAGCAGCCACCAGGCGAGGGGGAGCGAAUCCUAUA
Molecule: ribosomal RNA, 290 nt
Filed under: uncultured bacterium
Lineage: Bacteria
Description: partial 16S ribosomal RNA
Rfam family: Bacterial small subunit ribosomal RNA
Source: RNAcentral